This 267-nucleotide ribosomal RNA is filed under the name uncultured bacterium. RNAcentral's name for it is "partial 16S ribosomal RNA". It matches the Rfam family "Bacterial small subunit ribosomal RNA", at positions 86 to 354 of the family's 1533-position model. The record is from RNAcentral.
UGCCGGCGACCGGCGGACGGGUGCGUAACGCGUAUGUAACCUACCUUUGACAGGGGGAUAACAUCGAGAAAUUGGUACUAAUACCCCAUUACAUCACCGGAGGCAUCUUCGGUGGUUGAAAACUCAGGUGGUCAGAGAUGGACAUGCGUUGUAUUAGCUAGUUGGUGAGGUAACGGCUCACCAAGGCGACGAUACAUAGGGGGACUGAGAGGUCAACCCCCCACAUUGGUACUGAGACACGGACCAAACUCCUACGGAAGGCAGCAG